Non-coding RNA from Ovis aries (sheep), 72 nucleotides. The record is from Rfam. Lineage: Eukaryota; Metazoa; Chordata; Mammalia; Artiodactyla; Bovidae.
UCCCUGGUGGUUCAGUUGGUUAGGAGCCUGCCUGCAAGGUGGGAGACCCGGGUUCGAUCCCUGGUUGGGGAA